GAGCGGUAGCACAGGAGAGCUUGCUCUCUGGGUGACGAGCGGCGGACGGGUGAGUAAUGUCUGGGAAACUGCCUGAUGGAGGGGGAUAACUACUGGAAACGGUAGCUAAUACCGCAUAACGUCGCAAGACCAAAGAGGGGGACCUUCGGGCCUCUUGCCAUCAGAUGUGCCCAGAUGGGAUUAGCUAGUAGGUGGGGUAAUGGCUCACCUAGGCGACGAUCCCUAGCUGGUCUGAGAGGAUGACCAGCCACACUGGAACUGAGACACGGUCCAGACUCCUACGGGAGGCAGCAGUGGGGAAUAUUGCACAAUGGGCGCAAGCCUGAUGCAGCCAUGCCGCGUGUAUGAAGAAGGCCUUCGGGUUGUAAAGUACUUUCAGCGGGGAGGAAGGUGUUGAGGUUAAUAACCUCAGCAAUUGACGUUACCCGCAGAAGAAGCACCGGCUAACUCCGUG
RNAcentral lists this ribosomal RNA (454 nucleotides) under uncultured bacterium. RNAcentral describes it as "bacterial SSU rRNA". It matches the Rfam family "Bacterial small subunit ribosomal RNA", at positions 64 to 507 of the family's 1533-position model. The record is from RNAcentral.